CAGGCCUCUUGGACUUUGGUUCCUUGAACAGGAUCCUAAGCUUGGAAACUCUCCAAGUGACAGAAAAUUGGCAGAUUCUUCAUCGUUGAUUCCUUACUGGCUCUUUGGAGAGGAAAGGAGUUUUGCUCAGGACUUGGCGGAGCCCUUUGCUUGGCACCUUAGCCAGUAACUCAAAGUUCAAGGAACUUGACAGACAGAGGCUGUUUUUCUGGUAAUUUAUUUUGCCUGGCAGAUGCCUGAAGAUUUUCUUCAAGUUCAAUACUGUACAUAGGGUGACCUCUCCAUGUGGCUUGAGCCUGUCACAGCAUGGUGGAUGGAUUCUGGGAGUCAGCAUUCCAGGAGUGAGCAUUCUAAGAGGAAAAAAUGAGGAGCUGUCAUACAAAAAAAAAAGGUGUCCACUCGAAUAAAGGCCAAAGAGAUGUUUGCAGCCCUUGCCUCUUGAAAUGGAAGAGCCACCUGUUUGGACGAACGGAGGCAGGAUGGUGCACUUCCGGGUUCUUCUUCACCACCAACUCUUCCCGUGUGUGCGAGAAUGCAGCUGACGCCCGGGAAGGUGCAGAUUA
Long non-coding RNA from Piliocolobus tephrosceles (Ugandan red Colobus), 563 nucleotides. RefSeq lists it as uncharacterized. The record is from RefSeq and is a predicted model, not a curated record. The transcript has 4 exons. NCBI's taxonomy places the organism in Eukaryota, Metazoa, Chordata, Mammalia, Primates, Cercopithecidae.